Molecule: ribosomal RNA, 305 nt
Filed under: uncultured bacterium
Lineage: Bacteria
Description: bacterial SSU rRNA
Rfam family: Bacterial small subunit ribosomal RNA
Source: RNAcentral
GGCUCAGAAAGAACGCUGGCGGCGUGCUCACACAUGCAAGUCAAACGAACCUUCGGGUUAGUGGCGGACGGGUGAGUAACGCUUGACAAUCUGCCCUCAGGAGGGGGAUAACGGUUGGAAACGACCGCUAAUACCCCAUAUGCCGAGAGGUGAAAAGAAAUUCGCCUGAGGAUGAGCUCGCGUCUGAUUAGCUAGUUGGUGUGGUAAUGGCGCACCAAGGCUUCGAUCAGUAGCUGGUCUGAGAGGAUGAUCAGCCACACUGGGACUGAGACACGGCCCAGACUCCUACGGGAGGCAGCAGUGGG